This 831-nucleotide ribosomal RNA is filed under the name uncultured bacterium. RNAcentral describes it as "bacterial SSU rRNA". It matches the Rfam family "Bacterial small subunit ribosomal RNA", at positions 49 to 888 of the family's 1533-position model. The record is from RNAcentral.
UCGAACGGGGAUGCUUAUGGAAGGAGUGCUUGCACUUUGGAAAUGAGUAUCUUAGUGGCGGACGGGUGAGUAACGCGUGGGUAACCUGCCCCAUACCGGGGGAUACCACCUGGAAACAGGUGCUAAUACCGCAUAAGCACACGGGAGCGCAUGCUCCUGUGUGAAAAACUCCGGUGGUAUGGGAUGGACCCGCGUCUGAUUAGCCAGUUGGCAGGGUAACGGCCUACCAAAGCGACGAUCAGUAGCCGGCCUGAGAGGGUGGACGGCCACAUUGGGACUGAGACACGGCCCAAACUCCUACGGGAGGCAGCAGUGGGGAGUAUUGCACAAUGGGGGAAACCCUGAUGCAGCGACGCCGCGUGAGUGAAGAAGUAUUUCGGUAUGUAAAGCUCUAUCAGCAGGAACGAGACAAGACGGUACCUGACUAAGAAGCCCCGGCUAACUACGUGCCAGCAGCCGCGGUAAUACGUAGGGGGCAAGCGUUAUCCGGAAUCACUGGGUGUAAAGGGAGCGUAGACGGCUGAGCAAGCCUGAAGUGAAAGGCGGGGGCCCAACCCCCGGACUGCUUUGGGAACUGUACGGCUGGAGUGCAGGAGAGGUAAGUGGAAUUCCUAGUGUAGCGGUGAAAUGCGUAGAUAUUAGGAGGAACACCAGUGGCGAAGGCGGCUUACUGGACUGUAACUGACGUUGAGGCUCGAAAGCGUGGGGAGCAAACAGGAUUAGAUACCCUGGUAGUCCACGCCGUANACGAUGAUUACUAGGUGUCGGGGGGCAGNGGCCCUUCGGUGCCGCAGCAAACGCAAUAUGUAAUCCACCUGGGGAGUACGUCCG